This 505-nucleotide ribosomal RNA is filed under the name uncultured Actinomycetes bacterium. Its description in RNAcentral is "bacterial SSU rRNA". It matches the Rfam family "Bacterial small subunit ribosomal RNA", at positions 381 to 896 of the family's 1533-position model. Lineage: Bacteria; Bacillati; Actinomycetota; Actinomycetes. The record is from RNAcentral.
ACCUGAUCCAGCAACGCCGCGUGAGGGAUGACGGCCUUCGGGUUGUAAACCUCUUUCAGCAGGGACGAAGCGCAAGUGACGGUACCUGCAGAAGAAGCACCGGCCAACUACGUGCCAGCAGCCGCGGUAAUACGUAGGGUGCGAGCGUUGUCCGGAAUUAUUGGGCGUAAAGGGCUCGUAGGCGGUCUGUUGCGUCGGUAGUGAAAACUCAGGGCUUAACCCUGAGCCUGCUUCCGAUACGCGCAGACUAGAGGUAUGCAGGGGAGAACGGAAUUCCUGGUGUAGCGGUGAAAUGCGCAGAUAUCAGGAGGAACACCGGUGGCGAAGGCGGUUCUCUGGGCAUUACCUGACGCUGAGGAGCGAAAGUGUGGGGAGCGAACAGGAUUAGAUACCCUGGUAGUCCACACCGUAAACGUUGGGCGCUAGGUGUGGGACUCAUUCCACGAGUUCCGUGCCGCAGCUAACGCAUUAAGCGCCCCGCCUGGGGAGUACGGCCGCAAGGCUA